This 495-nucleotide long non-coding RNA is filed under the name Mytilus galloprovincialis (Mediterranean mussel). Lineage: Eukaryota; Metazoa; Mollusca; Bivalvia; Mytilida; Mytilidae. The record is from RNAcentral.
CUUGUGCAUAUUAAAUAAUGGACACGGAUAAAUUCAUGACAUAAUUUGUGUUUGGUGAUAGUGAUGUGUUUGUAGAUCUUACUUUACUGAACAUUCUUGUUGCUACAAAUAUCUCUGUCUAUAAUGAACUUGGCCCAGUAAUUACAGUGGAAAAUAUUUUCUACAAAUUUACAAAAAUUUAUGACAAAUGUUAAAAAUUAGCUAUAAAGAGCAAUAACUCCUUAAGGGGUCAAUUGACUAUUUUGGUCAUGUAAACUUAUUUGUAGAUCUUAUUUUGCUGAACGUUAUUGCUGUAUACAGUUUAUCUCUAUCUAUAAUAAUAUUCAAGAUAAUGACAAAAAACGGCAAAAUUUCCUUAAAAUUACCAAUUCAGGACAGUAACCUAACAACGGGUUGUCCGAUCCAUGUGAAAACAUCAGGGCAGAUAGAUCUUGACCUGAUAAACAAUUAAACCCUGUCAGAUUUUCUCUUAAUGCUUCGGUUUUUGAGUUAUAA